GGUGGGGUUCCCGAGCGGCCAAAGGGAGCAGACUGUAAAUCUGCCGUCAUCGACUUCGAAGGUUCGUAAUCCUUCCCCCACCACCA
RNAcentral lists this transfer RNA (86 nucleotides) under Escherichia coli. Its description in RNAcentral is "tRNA-Tyr". It matches the Rfam family "tRNA". From Rfam's summary of the family: Transfer RNA (tRNA) molecules are approximately 80 nucleotides in length. Their secondary structure includes four short double-helical elements and three loops (D, anti-codon, and T loops). Further hydrogen bonds mediate the characteristic L-shaped molecular structure. tRNAs have two regions of fundamental functional importance: the anti-codon, which is responsible for specific mRNA codon recognition, and the 3' end, to which the tRNAs corresponding amino acid is attached (by aminoacyl-tRNA synthetases). tRNAs cope with the degeneracy of the genetic code in two manners: having more than one tRNA (with a specific anti-codon) for a particular amino acid; and 'wobble' base-pairing, i.e. permitting non-standard base-pairing at the 3rd anti-codon position. Lineage: Bacteria; Pseudomonadati; Pseudomonadota; Gammaproteobacteria; Enterobacterales; Enterobacteriaceae. The record is from RNAcentral.